GGGACUGUGGCUUAGUGAUAGAGUGCUUGCCUAGCAUGCAUGAAGCCCUGGGUUUGAUUCUUCAGUCCCA
Non-coding RNA from Dipodomys ordii (Ord's kangaroo rat), 70 nucleotides. NCBI's taxonomy places the organism in Eukaryota, Metazoa, Chordata, Mammalia, Rodentia, Heteromyidae. The record is from Rfam.